AGUGAACGCUGGCGGCAGGCCUAAUACAUGCAAGUCGAACGGCAGCACAGCAGAGCUUGCUCUGUGGGUGGCGAGUGGCGGACGGGUGAGGAAUACGUGGGAAUCUGCCCAGUCGUGGGGAUAACGUAGGGAAACUUACGCUAAUACCGCAUGCGCCCUUCGGGGGAAAGCCGGGGACCUUCGGGCCUGGCGCGAUUGGAUGAGCCCACGUCGGAUUAGCUAGUUGGCGGGGUAAAGGCCCACCAAGGCGACGAUCCGUAGCUGGUCUGAGAGGAUGAUCAGCCACACUGGAACUGAGACACGGUCCAGACUCCUACGGGAGGCAGCAGUAGGGAAUAUUGGACAAUGGGCGCAAGCCUGAUCCAGCCAUGCCGCGUGAGUGAAGAAGG
Molecule: ribosomal RNA, 389 nt
Filed under: uncultured bacterium
Lineage: Bacteria
Description: bacterial SSU rRNA
Rfam family: Bacterial small subunit ribosomal RNA
Source: RNAcentral